This 1449-nucleotide long non-coding RNA is filed under the name Eucalyptus grandis. RNAcentral's name for it is "long non-coding RNA (EGRA_LNC007029)". Lineage: Eukaryota; Viridiplantae; Streptophyta; Magnoliopsida; Myrtales; Myrtaceae. The record is from RNAcentral.
CCAAACUUGACCUGACCCUAUUGUGCGAGUAGCAUCAGAUGAAUCUAAGAGAUUAUUGUCCUUAAAAGGGUAGAGAGAACCAUAAUCAAUAAUUAUAUAAUAAUAAAAGCCGUCUGGUGUAGCCCAAAUUUUCUUAAGGUCUAUUCUUGAUUCAGUUAAUGACAAAGGCGCUCCAGUUUUUCAGUUGCGUCUUUCCUUAUGAAAGGAUCGUACUCGAAUCCAAAUAGAACAAAAAUGUAUAUGGGCUCCACCUGCUAAUGAGCUAAUGUUUACCUAUUCUUAAAAGGCUGGUAUUUACUUCGUUGGAUAAAACUAAGGCUUCCCAAGUCCAAACUGGUUGCUGGUUUCAUAGUUCCUCACGAUCAAGUUUGGAAUAUCUCUAUUUUCCAACAACACUUUGACCAACACAUCGUUAAGGAGAUUAUUAAUAUCCCAUUAAGUCAUGCUCCUUCAGCCGAUCAUCUCAUCUGGACAGGCACACAAACAGGUCAGUAUUCAGUUAAAUCUGCCUACCACAUCCUCAGACAAUCAGAUUACCCUACAAACAGCAAUCUACCCUUAUCCUCUUAUCAGCCAUCAGCCCGUCUCUGGCGAUAUAUCUGGAAUCUCAAGACUCCCCCUAGGAUUAAAGUUUUUAUCUGGUCAUUGUGUCAUAAUGCUCUCCCUACUAAAGCCAAUCUCUUCCGAAGACACAUUUUACAUGACCCUCUAUGUCAGCUCUGUUCUAUGCACACAUCUGAAACCACUGAACACAUUCUGUUAUUUUGCCCAUGGACAUCAAAAAUCUGGUCUCACUACAGAGUACAAAUUGAUCAUUCAGCCUAUAGCAGAAAGCGAAUAGAUGCGUGGCUUGAGGAAGUUUUUGAAAAUCAGUCAAGUUUACCUUCCAAGGAGAUCAUCGCCUCCAUCCUUUGGCACUUAUGGAAGGCGCGCAACCAUUUCACUUUUCGACAGCAGCGAACCGCUCCUGAUCAGCUUGUAGAUGUGGCGCUUGCUGAAGCAUCGCUGUACAGAAACUCUUUGCAGCAAUCAGCCAGUACAGGAUCUGCUUUGCUCAACCCUAAUCGACUUUGGACUCCACCGGAUCGAGGCAGUUUCAAGGAAAAUAUUGAUGGGGCUUUUCCCUCUGAUACCAACAUGGGUGCAAUCGUGUGUGUCCUCAAGGAUCACACCGGUAUUUUGAUCGACGGAUUUAGCAGCACAGUUCGUGCGUCUUCAGCCCUGCAAUGCGAAGUAAGCCCUAAUUUCCACCCUCACUUAUUUGCUAGAACAGGGCAAGGAAGAAGCUCACCUCAUUAUUGAGUCUGACUGUCUGACUCUUGUGGAGACACUCAACGAUCGCCGUUCCUCACCAUGGGAGAUCCGAGCUUUUGUAGCAGACGUUUCUGCGUUGCGUCUCUCCUUCCCUCACUUGCGGAUUCAACACUACCGAAGAGAAGCUAAUGCUGC